AGAAUCAACGCUGGCGGCGUGCCUAACACAUGCAAGUCGCACGAGAAAGUGGAGCAAUCCAUGAGUAAAGUGGCGCACGGGUGGAGUAACACGUGAAUUAUCUACCUCCGAGGUGGGGAAUAACUGAGAGAAAUCUUAGCUAAUACCGCAUAACACUUACGAGUCAAAGCAGCAAUGCGCUUGGAGAGGAGUUCGCGGCCGAUUAGUUAGUUGGCGGGUAAUCGGCCCACCAAGACGAUGAUCGGUA
RNAcentral lists this ribosomal RNA (247 nucleotides) under uncultured bacterium. RNAcentral describes it as "partial small subunit ribosomal RNA". It matches the Rfam family "Bacterial small subunit ribosomal RNA", at positions 26 to 285 of the family's 1533-position model. The record is from RNAcentral.